RNAcentral lists this ribosomal RNA (253 nucleotides) under uncultured Eubacteriales bacterium. Its description in RNAcentral is "uncultured Clostridiales bacterium partial 16S ribosomal RNA". It matches the Rfam family "Bacterial small subunit ribosomal RNA", at positions 524 to 776 of the family's 1533-position model. Lineage: Bacteria; Bacillati; Bacillota; Clostridia; Eubacteriales. The record is from RNAcentral.
UACGUAGGGAGCAAGCGUUAUCCGGAUUUAUUGGGUGUAAAGGGUGCGUAGACGGGAAGGCAAGUUGGUUGUGAAAUCCCUCGGCUUAACUGAGGAACUGCAACCAAAACUAUCUUUCUUGAGUGCUGGAGAGGAAAGUGGAACUCCAUGUGUAGCGGUGAAAUGCGUAGAUAUAUGGAAGAACACCAGUGGCGAAAGCGGCUCUCUGGUCUGUAACUGACGCUGAGGUUCGAAAGCGUGGGUAGCAAACAGG